GCCUAUGGCCACGCCCCCCUGAACGUGUCCAAUCUCGUCUGAUCUCGGUCGGGCCUGGUUAGUACUUGGAUGGGAGACCACCUUGGAAUACCAGGUGCUGUAGGCA
This 106-nucleotide ribosomal RNA is filed under the name Pteropus alecto (black flying fox). The record is from RNAcentral. Lineage: Eukaryota; Metazoa; Chordata; Mammalia; Chiroptera; Pteropodidae.